Molecule: transfer RNA, 67 nt
Filed under: Acropteris iphiata
Lineage: Eukaryota; Metazoa; Arthropoda; Insecta; Lepidoptera; Uraniidae
Description: tRNA-Cys
Source: RNAcentral
AAUCUUAUAGUCAAUAUAUGAUGUGAGAAUUGCAAAUUUUAAGUAAUAAUUUAAAUUAUUAAGAUUU